This 254-nucleotide ribosomal RNA is filed under the name uncultured bacterium. Its description in RNAcentral is "partial 16S ribosomal RNA". It matches the Rfam family "Bacterial small subunit ribosomal RNA", at positions 524 to 776 of the family's 1533-position model. The record is from RNAcentral.
UACGAAGGGGGCUAGCGUUGCUCGGAAUCACUGGGCGUAAAGGGUGCGUAGGCGGGUCUUUAAGUCAGGGGUGAAAUCCUGGAGCUCAACUCCAGAACUGCCUUUGAUACUGAAGAUCUUGAGUUCGGGAGAGGUGAGUGGAACUGCGAGUGUAGAGGUGAAAUUCGUAGAUAUUCGCAAGAACACCAGUGGCGAAGGCGGCUCACUGGCCCGAUACUGACGCUGAGGCACGAAAGCGUGGGGAAGCAAACAGG